This 253-nucleotide ribosomal RNA is filed under the name Alteracholeplasma parvum. RNAcentral describes it as "partial 16S ribosomal RNA". It matches the Rfam family "Bacterial small subunit ribosomal RNA", at positions 524 to 776 of the family's 1533-position model. The record is from RNAcentral. Lineage: Bacteria; Bacillati; Mycoplasmatota; Mollicutes; Acholeplasmatales; Acholeplasmataceae.
UACAUAGGGGGCGAGCGUUAUCCGGAAUUAUUGGGCGUAAAGCGUGCGUAGGCGGCCGUUUAAGUCUGUCGUGAAAGCCCACAGCUUAACUGUGGAGGGUUGAUGGAAACUGGAUGGCUUGAAUCUAGAAGAGGUAAGUGGAAUUCCAUGUGUAGCGGUAAAAUGCUUAGAUAUAUGGAGGAACACCAGUGGCGAAGGCGGCUUACUGGUCUAGCAUUGACGCUGAGGCACGAAAGCGUAGGUAGCAAACAGG